This is a long non-coding RNA of Hipposideros armiger (great roundleaf bat), 888 nucleotides long. RefSeq lists it as uncharacterized. The transcript is spliced from 5 exons. Lineage: Eukaryota; Metazoa; Chordata; Mammalia; Chiroptera; Hipposideridae. The record is from RefSeq and is a predicted model, not a curated record.
CUAGGGGCCUUCCCAUGCCUUUGGUCAUUGCCCACGUCCCCUCACCUGACAUGAAGAACUUGUGAGGAUCUCUGUCAUCCAUGGAAUAGGGGGAAACCUUGGGAGGGAAGUUGAUCAAAGAAAAAUAGGGCUAUCAAGUUCAGCCCCUGUGCUCUGACACAAGCUCCCAGGGCAGGGAGGUGUAGCUGGCAGUCGAGCCCACAUUCCUAUACCCGAAGCUAUGCUGCUCAUGGCCACCCCCAGCCUACGCACAGGACCCUUACUUAAGCCCUCAUCUGAGCACCUGCCUGAGGAGAUGUGGACUCUGCUCUUUGGGAGUCUCGGUUAAAGCUUGACAGUUACUGAAUACCUCCUACAAUCUGGACCAUCAUCCAUUCAAUGAACAUGCCGCGCUCUGCUAGGCACACUCCACGGUGGCAGAAUGUACUGUGUAGGAAUUGGAAAAGCUAAGCUCCACAUGACUUCGGCAGACUGUGACAGUGUCUGAUCUGACCAAGCACGCAUGGCUGACUUCUCGGGAAUUGCACAGGAGCACUGCGUCCUAAGGAAUACAUUUCAUGUUCCUCACUGUUCUGCCAAGAGCAGCCUUGAACCUUAAUUUUGUUCUGCCAAGCAGCCAGGAACUUCAGGGAAGCUUGGAGCCAGCUCUAGGAGUGAGUCUUGAUUAGUCUAAGCCCAUUGUAGUGGUCCCAUGCCCCUUGCUAGUGAUAGGUUUGCCUGGGCUUGUGGCAUUCUGGCAGUAUGAGGGGAGGUCUUCUAGGAUUAGGGAGGGUCCUGGGAGGAGCUUCUUUGCUCUUAAAAAAGACGUACAACAAGGCUGGCCGAGUGGCGCCAUGGUUAAGAACUGGCUUGGGAUGCCAGAGGGCCCCGGUUCAGAUCCCACAUAUG